GGGCUUGUGGUUUAGUGGUAUAAUACUCCCUUAGCACUUUUAGAAGCAAUAGCUCUAAUAAUCGCCUGGGAGUGGUCCGGGGUUCGAUUCCCCGCGAGUCCA
This is a non-coding RNA of Rostrohypoxylon terebratum, 102 nucleotides long. NCBI's taxonomy places the organism in Eukaryota, Fungi, Ascomycota, Sordariomycetes, Xylariales, Hypoxylaceae. The record is from the annotation of a GenBank genome assembly.